This 255-nucleotide ribosomal RNA is filed under the name Triticum aestivum (bread wheat). RNAcentral's name for it is "partial small subunit ribosomal RNA". The record is from RNAcentral. Lineage: Eukaryota; Viridiplantae; Streptophyta; Magnoliopsida; Poales; Poaceae.
AUGAAGGCAUACACGGCUGCCGAGGACAAGCUUCAUUGCGAGUGUUGGCGGGACAUUGGACAAGACCCCCAGACGGGCGCCGAACAAAAACAUUCAACCUUUUGGAUUCGUGUCCACCGAGAGUUUCAUGGGCGCAAAAAGUUUCCGCCUUAUCAAAUUGUGAGCACACGCGGGUGGGUGCCCAUUUCCAAGCGAUGGAACAAGAGUGCAACAAGUUUUGUGCCACUCUUGAGAGCGUCAAGGCCCGCCCCGUGA